GGGCGAGUGGCGGAAUCGGCAGACGCGCAGGCUUCAGAUGCCUGUGUUCGCAAGAACGUGGGGGUUCAAGUCCCCCCUCGCCCA
Molecule: transfer RNA, 84 nt
Filed under: Actinomycetes bacterium
Lineage: Bacteria; Bacillati; Actinomycetota; Actinomycetes
Also listed under: 2 other names
Description: Actinobacteria bacterium tRNA-Leu
Rfam family: tRNA
About the family: Transfer RNA (tRNA) molecules are approximately 80 nucleotides in length. Their secondary structure includes four short double-helical elements and three loops (D, anti-codon, and T loops).
Source: RNAcentral